This 340-nucleotide ribosomal RNA is filed under the name uncultured bacterium. Its description in RNAcentral is "bacterial SSU rRNA". It matches the Rfam family "Bacterial small subunit ribosomal RNA", at positions 28 to 351 of the family's 1533-position model. The record is from RNAcentral.
GACGAACGCUGGCGGCGUGCCUAAUACAUGCAAGUUGAACGCAACAAAGACACCAGAGCUUGCUCUACCGUCUUUGUUGAGUAGCGAACGGGUGAGUAACGCGUGGGUAACCUGCCUUAUAGCGGGGGAUAACUAUUGGAAACGAUAGCUAAUACCGCAUAACAAUAGAGAUUGCAUAAUCUUUAUUUGAAAGUGCCAACUGGUACACUAUGAGAUGGACCCGCGUUGUAUUAGCUAGUUGGUAGUGUAAUGGACUACCAAGGCGAUGAUACAUAGCCGACCUGAGAGGGUGAUCGGCCACAUUGGGACUGAGACACGGCCAAACUCCUACGGGAGGCAG